Molecule: long non-coding RNA, 391 nt
Organism: Raphanus sativus (radish)
Lineage: Eukaryota; Viridiplantae; Streptophyta; Magnoliopsida; Brassicales; Brassicaceae
Exons: 2
Source: RefSeq, a predicted model, not a curated record
GUAGUGAUUGUUUAAUUUUUAAAAAUAUAUAUCUACUUGAGAGUGAAAGCACAAAUAUACAACUUACUGUCUAAUUCUGUCUCAUUUGCCUUUGUCUAUUACAACAUAAUACAUCAGGCACAGUUGCUCUCACAUCCAUGGCCUCUUCACGUGUGUUUUUAGACUAGGAUGUCCAACCAACUAAGGAGUAUAUCGGCUGGUCAGUGCAGAUGGUGUUACAAAAACUGAGACGUUGACUAUUGGAGAAAUAUUCUCCUACAUGAAGCAGGAAUCUGCAAAGCUUAUAAUUAAGAAGUUUUUCUUCUUAUCUUAUUUUAUUUUAUAAUCAUUGCACCAAACUUUCAAUACUAAUAAAUUCAAGUUUUUAUUAAAUUAUUUUUUUGAAACAUUA